AGUGAACGCUGGCGGUAGGCCUAACACAUGCAAGUCGAACGGCAGCACAGUAAGAGCUUGCUCUUACGGGUGGCGAGUGGCGGACGGGUGAGGAAUACAUCGGAAUCUUCUUUUUCGUGGGUGAUAACGUAGGGAAACUUACGCUAAUACCGCAUACGACCUACGGGUGAAAGCAGGGGAUCUUCGGACCUUGCGCGAUUGAAUUAGCCGAUGUCGGAUUAGCUAGUUGGCUGGGUAAAGGCCCACCAAGGCGACGAUCCGUAGCUGGUCUGAGAGGAUGAUCAGCCACACUGGAACUGAGACACGGUCCAGACUCCUACGGGAGGCAGCAGUGGGGAAUAUUGGACAAUGGGCGAAAGCCUGAUCCAGCCAUACCGCGUGGGUGAAGAAGGCCUUCGGGCUGUAAAGCCCUUUUGUUGGGAAAGAAAAGCAGCAGGUUAAUACCCCGCUGUUCUGACGGUACCCAAAGAAUAAGCACCGGCUAACUUCGUG
RNAcentral lists this ribosomal RNA (492 nucleotides) under uncultured bacterium. RNAcentral's name for it is "partial 16S ribosomal RNA". It matches the Rfam family "Bacterial small subunit ribosomal RNA", at positions 29 to 507 of the family's 1533-position model. The record is from RNAcentral.